RNAcentral lists this small nuclear RNA (105 nucleotides) under Monodon monoceros (narwhal). Lineage: Eukaryota; Metazoa; Chordata; Mammalia; Artiodactyla; Monodontidae. The record is from RNAcentral.
GUUUACUUCGGCAGCACUUAUACUAAAAUUGGAACUAUACAGAGAAGAUUAGCAUGACCCCUGUGCAAGGAUGACAUGAAAAUUUGCAAAGCAUUCCAUAUUUUU